UUUACGCAACGGCUGACGUAGGGGAAGACGCGUUAGUCAGGGGGAAGGUUCUAGAAAAGCGGCGGCAGCGGCGGCGCUAGCGGCAGUAGCAGCAGCGUCGGCUCUCCUGUGGAAGUGCUCUUCGUGGUGGUGUUUCUCGAGCAGCUGCAGUUCUCACUACAGCGCCAGGACGAGUCCGGUUCGUGUUCGUCCGCGGAGAUCUCUCUCAUCUCGCUCGGCUGCGGGAAAUCGGGCUGAAGCGACUGAGUCCGCGAUGGAGAACACUUUAGAAACUGUUCCUUUGGAGAGGAAAAAGAGAGAAAAGGAACAGUUCCGUAAACUCUUCAUUGGUGGCUUGAGCUUUGAAACCACAGAAGAAAGUUUGAGGAACUAUUACGAGCAAUGGGGAAAACUUACAGACUGUGUGGUAAUGAGAGAUCCUGCAAGCAAAAGAUCGAGAGGAUUUGGUUUUGUAACUUUUUCAUCCAUGGCUGAGGUUGAUGCUGCCAUGGCUGCAAGACCUCAUUCAAUUGAUGGGAGAGUGGUUGAGCCAAAACGUGCUGUUGCAAGAGAGGAGUCUGGAAAACCUGGGGCUCAUGUGACUGUGAAGAAGCUAUUUGUUGGUGGAAUUAAAGAAGAUACUGAAGAGCAUCAUCUUAGAGAUUACUUCGAGGAAUACGGAAAAAUUGAUACGAUUGAAAUAAUCACUGAUAGGCAGUCAGGAAAGAAAAGAGGCUUUGGAUUUGUUACUUUUGAUGACCAUGAUCCUGUGGAUAAGAUUGUGUUGCAGAAAUACCAUACCAUCAAUGGUCAUAAUGCAGAAGUAAGGAAGGCUUUGUCUAGACAAGAAAUGCAGGAAGUCCAAAGUUCUAGAAGUGGAAGAGGAGGCAACUUUGGUUUUGGAGAUUCUCGUGGUGGUGGAGGAAAUUUUGGACCAGGACCUGGAAGUAACUUUAGAGGAGGAUCUGAUGGAUAUGGGAGUGGUCGUGGAUUUGGGGAUGGCUAUAAUGGGUAUGGAGGAGGACCUGGAGGUGGCAAUUUUGGAGGUAGCCCUGGUUAUGGAGGAGGAAGAGGAGGAUAUGGUGGUGGAGGACCUGGAUAUGGCAACCAGGGUGGGGGCUACGGAGGUGGUUAUGACAACUAUGGAGGAGGAAAUUAUGGAAGUGGAAAUUACAAUGAUUUUGGAAAUUAUAACCAGCAACCAUCUAACUAUGGUCCAAUGAAGAGUGGAAACUUUGGUGGUAGCAGGAACAUGGGGGGACCAUAUGGUGGAGGAAACUAUGGUCCUGGAGGAAGUGGAGGAAGUGGGGGUUAUGGAGGGAGAAGCCGAUACUGAGCUUCUUCCAAUUUGCCAUGGCAUUGAUAUGAACCGUGGACAAGUAUAUUCUGCUGCCACAAAGACUAAAGUGCUUCAUUUCAACAGCUGAGGAAGGUGUCUUGCUGCAGGUAACUAAUGAAGAAGUGGUCAACCACAGAGUCUUCAAGAAUAAGAAAUUCUGUACCAUCUGAAAGUAGUUCUUGUUGGUGCCUUCAUUUAAAAAAGCACUCUUAAGAUCAAAGGGAAAUGUUUUCUGAUACAAUAACAAACUUCAUUUAGUACAGGUUCUUAAUAUAAAACAAUUACAUUGAGUAUUGUUUGUAAAAGAGUUAACAUCAAAUCAGCUAGAAAUGUAUCAUGUUUUAAGUUAGGUUUUGUGAGUAGACAGAUUAAAAUUCUAUUUUAAAUACAAAGUUUAUAAAAUAAAUACUUUUGUAUCCAAAUACUUGGUGUAAUGUUUACACAUAAGAUGUGUGAAUCUUGUUUUAUAAACAUUCAGUUGUCUAAAGGGUUGCCAUUCCCUAGAUUUUUUAAGCAGUUUUACAAACUAUGCAUAUUGCCAUUUUUCAAUAUUGAUAGACAAAUGAGAAAAAAGUUGUGGACAUUAUUGGCUGUCCCUAAUAAAAUGGCAUUCUUCACACUA
This is an RNA transcript of Manis javanica (Malayan pangolin), 1940 nucleotides long. It is a transcript of the gene named heterogeneous nuclear ribonucleoprotein A2/B1, with no coding region annotated. Lineage: Eukaryota; Metazoa; Chordata; Mammalia; Pholidota; Manidae. The record is from RefSeq and is a predicted model, not a curated record.